RNAcentral lists this long non-coding RNA (213 nucleotides) under Gallus gallus (chicken). Lineage: Eukaryota; Metazoa; Chordata; Aves; Galliformes; Phasianidae. The record is from RNAcentral.
GAAACGUGUUAAAGAGGCCUUCUGUCCAACGUUGGUAAUGGCUUCAAUCCGUGGGAUAUAUUCUUCUUGCAUCAGCAACAACAGUUUCCAGAACUGAACGUGGUAGUGUUUCAUGAGAGCAUUGCCACACACCUCCAGAAAAUCAUACAGAAGUGUGGCUGUCACAACCACCAGAGGCUCCAUGUUCAGCAUCUGAGCAAGCCAGCACCACCC